CAGAGGAGCUGUGGGUCUUCCCCACACCAUGAUGUACAGCCCCGGUCUGUCCCUGCUGGCGCACAUUGAACCAGCAUAAAGACCCUGCCUCAGCCUUCAUUCGAGAGAUACGCUGAUGGUGAACAGAAGGCUGAGGCAACACAAACCUAAGAGACACUAAAGUUAAGCAACUAGAGCCGCACUGAGACGUUACCAUGUUUCUUUAAGUUGUGGUGAUGAUAGUGGUGUUGAUAGAGGGCAUUUUUCCUAAUAAAAGGUGCAGCCAUGCCCACAGUCACAAUAUAUUUAAGUAAGUGCAAACACAAAGGACGAUAUCACGAUUAUUAAAAUGAUUGAGGUCAUGGCCAUUUAAUGAGCGAUAAGUCGAUAAUGUAGUUAUUGUGACAGGCCUAUCGUUAUUCUAAUAUGAGUUUUCAGAAUGAACACAUUAAAAGAGCUGCAAUAAUAUUGUAAAUAACAGCAAACUCAAACUGUGUAUUAUCUGUGUGCUGCAACACAGGGGGGUUCACUCUACAGACUGAAAGCUUGUAUAACGUAACUGAGCUGGAGUAGAUUGAGAUAGAGUGAGGCAAAGUGAGGUACAGUGAGGUAGAUUGAGGCAGAGGGAGGUACAGUGAUGUAGAGUGAGGUAGAUUGAGGUAGAGUGAGGCAGAGGGAGGUACAGUGAUGUAGAGUGAGGUAGAUCGAGUUAAUAUGAGGCAGAGGGAGGUACAGUGAUGUAGAGUGAGGUAGAUCGAGUUAAUAUGAGGCAGAGGGAGGUACAGUGAUGUAGAGUGAGGUAGAUUAAGCUAAAGUGAGGCAGAGUGAGGUACAGCGAGGUAGAGUGAGGCAGAGGGAGGUACAGUGAUGUAGAGUGAGGUAGAUUAAGCUAAAGUGAGGCAGAGUGAGGUACACCGAGGUAGAUUGAGGUAAAGUGAGGCAGAGGGAGGUACAGUGAUGUAGAGUGAGGCAAAGUGAGGUACAGCGAGGUAGAAUGAGGUACAGAUAGGCAGACUGAGGUAGAGUGAGGUCAAAAGAGGUAGAGUGAGGUAGACCAAGGUAGAGUGAGGUAGAGCAGAAGUUAUCACAUCAGAUUUUUGUCCAUAUCUUAAACCCGUUUAUAGAGUUCAUGCACGUAUUUAUAGAGUGUGAAUCAGAUUCCUUGAAACCCUGAGAACAGUUCCGCAGGAUUACUCACAGCAGCAGAGGUGUUUCCUAGAGACAUGAUAGCCUUUUACCUUCAUAGUGUUUUACAGUGUUUACAGGUUAUUACAGUCAGGAGUCACGGCAGCACUGAUACAGCGCGCUGUUUUUUUUCUUUCUGUGAAAGUUGGCCUCGGCCUGGUCCUCCUCAGCCAGAGCAGCACAGCGGGUUUAUAGUGUGUCUCAGGAUAUUCCUGCUUCCCCCGUGUUGUGGUUGUAGGUCCCCUGACAGACUGAGCUGAACUGUUAUGUCAAACAGGCCUGGAUUCUUUCCACUUGGCUUCCGUUGGCUCCAUGCUGGUCCAUUCUAUUGCUGGUGUGAAGAACACGGUGUUAGAUACUUUUCAGUUGUUUGCGCAAAGAAACUUGGACAUUUACUGUUACUCUAACUAAGGCUAUCAUGAGUUUUUAUGAUAAACAUUUUAAAAGUGCUACGAUAAUAUCAGGAAUAACAGAAACUCAUUUCUGUCAAAGCGGGGUAGAGUGAGGCAGAAUGGGAUAAAUUGAGGUAAAGAGAAGGAAGAACUAGGUAAAGUGAGACAAAGCAAGGUAGAGAGAGGUAGAGCGAGUCAGAGUGAGGCAAAGUGAGGUAGGAAGAGCUAGAGUCAGGUAGAGUGAAGUAGAUAGAUCUAGACAGAGACAGAGUGAAGUAAAGCAAGGUAGAGUGAGUCAGAGUGAGGUACAGAGAGAUAGAGCGAGGCAGAAUGGGGUAAAGUAAGGUAGAGAGGGUUAGAUCCAGGCCAAGUGGGGUAGAGUGACAGGUAGUACUAGGCAGAUUAAGGUAAAGUGAGGUACAGAGAUAUAAAGCAAGGCAGAGUGAGGUAGAAAGAGCUAGAGUGAGGCAGAAUGAGGUAAAGCGAGAUACAGAGAGAUUCAGUGAGGAAGAAUGAGGUAAAGUACGAUAGAGAGGAGUAGAGCAAGGCCAAGGUGAAGGUGGAGAGACGUAGAAUGAGUCAGAGUAAGGUAAAGAGAGGUAGAGAGAGUUAGAAUGAGACAGAGUGAGGUAAAGAGAGGUAGAGAGAGUUAGAAUGAGACAGAGUGAGGUAAAGAGAGGUAGAGAGAGUUAGAAUGAGACAGAGUGAGGUAAAGAGAGGUAGAGAGAGUUAGAAUGAGGCAGAGUGAGGUAAAGAGAGGUAGAGAGAGUUAGAAUGAGACAGAGUGAGGUAAAGAGAGGUAGAUAGAGUUAGAAUGAGGUAGAUUGAGGUAAAGAGAGGUAGAUAGAGUUAGAAUGAGGCAGAGUGAGGUAAAGAGAGGUAGAUAGAGUUAGAAUGAGGCAGAGUGAGGUAAAGAGAGGUAGAGAGAGUUAGAAUGAGGCAUAGAGAGGUAAAGAGAGGUAGAGAGAGUUAGAAUGAGGCAGAGUGAAGUAGAGAGAGUUAGAAUGAGGCAGAGUGAGGUAAAGAGAGGUAGAGAGAGUUAGAAUGAAGCAGAGUGAAGUAGAGAGAGUUAGAAUGAGGCAGAGUGAGGUAAAGAGAGGUAGAGAGAGUUAGAAUGAGGCAGAGUGAAGUAGAGAGAGUUAGAAUGAGGCAGAGUGAGGUAAAGAGAGGUAGAGAGAGUUAGAAUGAGGCAGAGUGAAGUAGAGAGAGUUAGAAUGAGGCAGAGUGGGGUAAAGUGAGGUAGAGAGAGUUAGAUUGAGGCAUAGAGAGGUAAAGAGAGGUAGAGAGAGUUAGAAUGAGACAGAGUGAGGUAAAGAGAGGUAGAUAGAGUUAGAAUGAGGUAGAUUGAGGUAAAGAGAGGUAGAUAGAGUUAGAAUGAGGCAGAGUGAGGUAAAGAGAGGUAGAUAGAGUUAGAAUGAGGCAGAGUGAGGUAAAGAGAGGUAGAUAGAGUUAGAAUGAGGCAGAGUGAGGUAAAGAGAGGUAGAGAGAGUUAGAAUGAAGCAGAGUGAGGUAAAGAGAGGUAGAGAGAGUUAGAAUGAAGCAGAGUGAGGUAAAGAGAGGUAGAGAGAGUUAGAAUGAAGCAGAGUGAGGUAAAGAGAGGUAGAGAGAGUUGGAAUGAUGCAGAGUAAGGGAAAGAGAGGUAGAGAGAGUUAGAAUGAAGCAGAGUGAAGUAGAGAGAGUUAGAAUGAGGCAGAGUGAGGUAAAGAGAGGUAGAGAGAGUUAGAAUGAGGCAUAGAGAGGUAAAGAGAGGUAGAGAGAGUUAGAAUGAGGCAGAGUGAAGUAGAGAGAGUUAGAAUGAGGCAGAGUGAGGUAAAGAGAGGUAGAGAGAGUUAGAAUGAAGCAGAGUGAAGUAGAGAGAGUUAGAAUGAGGCAGAGUGAGGUAAAGAGAGGUAGAGAGAGUUAGAAUGAGGCAGAGUGAAGUAGAGAGAGUUAGAAUGAGGCAGAGUGAGGUAAAGAGAGGUAGAGAGAGUUAGAAUGAGGCAGAGUGAAGUAGAGAGAGUUAGAAUGAGGCAGAGUGAGGUAAAGAGAGGUAGAGAGAGUUAGAAUGAGACAGAGUGAGGUAAAGAGAGGUAGAGAGAGUUAGAAUGAGGCAGAGUGAGGUAAAGAGAGGUAGAGAGAGUUAGAAUGAGACAGAGUGAGGUAAAGAGAGGUAGAGAGA
Astyanax mexicanus (Mexican tetra) is the source of this 3714-nucleotide long non-coding RNA. RefSeq lists it as uncharacterized. The record is from RefSeq and is a predicted model, not a curated record. NCBI's taxonomy places the organism in Eukaryota, Metazoa, Chordata, Actinopteri, Characiformes, Acestrorhamphidae. The transcript is spliced from 8 exons.